Molecule: non-coding RNA, 66 nt
Organism: Podarcis lilfordi (Lilford's wall lizard)
Lineage: Eukaryota; Metazoa; Chordata; Lepidosauria; Squamata; Lacertidae
Source: the annotation of a GenBank genome assembly
GAGGCUCAGUGGUAGAGCCUUUUCCUUGCAUGCAGAAGGUCAUGGGUUCAAUAUCUAGCAUCUCCA